RNAcentral lists this ribosomal RNA (253 nucleotides) under uncultured bacterium. Its description in RNAcentral is "partial 16S ribosomal RNA". It matches the Rfam family "Bacterial small subunit ribosomal RNA", at positions 524 to 776 of the family's 1533-position model. The record is from RNAcentral.
UACGAAGGGUGCAAGCGUUAAUCGGAAUUACUGGGCGUAAAGCGCGCGUAGGUGGCUUGAUAAGUUGGAUGUGAAAUCCCCGGGCUCAACCUGGGAACUGCAUCCAAAACUGUCUGACUAGAGUGCGGUAGAGGGUAGUGGAAUUUCCAGUGUAGCGGUGAAAUGCGUAGAUAUUGGAAGGAACACCAGUGGCGAAGGCGACUACCUGGACCGGUACUGACGCUGAUGCGCGAAAGCGUGGGGAGCAAACAGG